CACAAAGAAAAAUCAUAAGCGUGUCGUGGUUUUAUAUGUGAUAAAAAAUCAUGUUAAUUUACAUAAACUUUAGCUUUGAUUUUCUCGGUUAAGACAAAGUUUAUUUUAAAAAUUACUUCGCCAAUGAACUCGUAUAAGAUGAGUCGUUUUUUAAGCCAUUUAAAGCACUUGUAGUCGUGUUUUAUCACAUAUAAAACGCUCGGCUGCGCCUCGCGUUUUAUAUGUGAUAACUGAAACACUCCUACGCGUGCUUUAAAUAGUACAUAUGACAUAUGUGAAUAUGCGCAGGAUUUUGCCACAAUUUUUGUCUUUCGCUAAAAUAGCAUUCUCAUAGUUAUUACAUAUUGCAUUCUUUUAUUUUUCAUGGACAAACAAAUUGACUCAAUAACAUCGAGACAGGCAGAGGCGUAGGAACCGGG
Non-coding RNA from Paramuricea clavata, 419 nucleotides. The record is from the annotation of a GenBank genome assembly. NCBI's taxonomy places the organism in Eukaryota, Metazoa, Cnidaria, Anthozoa, Malacalcyonacea, Plexauridae.